RNAcentral lists this signal recognition particle RNA (267 nucleotides) under Gemmatimonadota bacterium. Its description in RNAcentral is "Gemmatimonadetes bacterium signal recognition particle sRNA large type". It matches the Rfam family "Bacterial large signal recognition particle RNA". Rfam says of the family: The signal recognition particle (SRP) is a universally conserved ribonucleoprotein involved in the co-translational targeting of proteins to membranes. Archaeal SRP consists of a 7S RNA and homologues of the eukaryotic SRP19 and SRP54 proteins. Lineage: Bacteria; Pseudomonadati; Gemmatimonadota. The record is from RNAcentral.
UCGUGCUAGGCGGGGAGUUAGCGGUGCCCUGUACCCGCAAUCCGCUAUAGCGGGGUUGAAUUCCCAACCUGAGGUCUUAUCCUUCCCGAGAGACAGUUAGGCACGUGGUGUUGAAGAUCAGGUCCCACGCAACGUGAGAUCACCGAACCCCGUCAGGACCGGGAGGUAGCAGCGGUAGGUGAAUCCUCUCGUGUGCCGUGGGAUCACCUGGUCGGAGCUAACGACCUGAAUGUCGCUUGAGAAGAGGGAUCGAGGGUGGGUGCACGA